UGUUGUUAACGAGUCGAACCAGGUGUACCUAAUCAGGUUCACUAAUUAGAUUCACCUGUUCAACUGUGACGACAUGCAGACCAACUGAAAAUCACACAAACACUUUGGACUUCACAGAGAAAGAGAAACUACCCAGUGAGUGACCGCACCGGACACUUGUUCUUUCAGCCCGAGGCCACUGUCUGCACCAUGAGCAAGUCUCCUUGUGAUGCCAAGACGCCCCAGUGUUUUGUCUUUGCAGGCCUAUGUGAACUGGUGUCUCUGUUGCUGUAGAUGAAAUAUGUUGAGCUGCUGCCUCUGGAAGAGAAAUCUGUGAUUGCCUUCGAUGACUGAUGCGCCACACCGGGAGCACAUUUAUAAAAACCAGAGAAGCUGGGACCCACGGUGGUGGUGCAAAUACGGGAGGUUUAAUGGAAUGGUGAAGAAUGAGCCACUUAGCUGCCCAGGGAGACGGGGUGUCACAACCCACCUGGAUCUCUUGAAGUGGUUGGAAGUGAAGUGUGGAGAGCAGCAGCAGGU
This is a long non-coding RNA of Solea senegalensis (Senegalese sole), 519 nucleotides long. RefSeq lists it as uncharacterized. The transcript has 5 exons. The record is from RefSeq and is a predicted model, not a curated record. NCBI's taxonomy places the organism in Eukaryota, Metazoa, Chordata, Actinopteri, Pleuronectiformes, Soleidae.